GACGAACGCUGGCGGCGUGCUUAACACAUGCAAGUCGAACGCUGAAGCUCAGCUUUUGUUGGGUGGAUGAGUGGCGAACGGGUGAGUAACACGUGAGUAACCUGCCUCCUUCUUUGGGAUAACGCCCGGAAACGGGUGCUAAUACUGGAUAUUCACUGGUCUUCGCAUGGGGGUUGGUGGAAAGGGUUUUUCUGGUGGGGGAUGGGCUCGCGGCCUAUCAGCUUGAUGGUGGGGUGAUGGCCUACCAAGGCUUUGACGGGUAGCCGGCCUGAGAGGGUGACCGGUCACAUUGGGACUGAGAUACGGCCCAGACUCCUACGGGAGGCAGCAGUGGGGAAUAUUGCACAAUGGGCGCAAGCCUGAUGCAGCGACGCCGCGUGAGGGAUGGAGGCCUUCGGGUUGUGAACCUCUUUCGCUCAUGGUCAAGCCGCAACAAUGGUUGUGGUGAGGGUAGUGGGUAAAGAAGCGCCGGCUAACUACGUG
This 483-nucleotide ribosomal RNA is filed under the name uncultured bacterium. RNAcentral describes it as "partial 16S ribosomal RNA". It matches the Rfam family "Bacterial small subunit ribosomal RNA", at positions 28 to 507 of the family's 1533-position model. The record is from RNAcentral.